This 22-nucleotide microRNA is filed under the name Pristionchus pacificus. Its description in RNAcentral is "ppc-miR-38". Its record names the gene ppc-miR-38. Lineage: Eukaryota; Metazoa; Nematoda; Chromadorea; Rhabditida; Neodiplogasteridae. The record is from miRBase by way of RNAcentral.
UCACCGGGAGUUAAUAUGGGAC